Molecule: ribosomal RNA, 253 nt
Filed under: uncultured bacterium
Lineage: Bacteria
Description: partial 16S ribosomal RNA
Rfam family: Bacterial small subunit ribosomal RNA
Source: RNAcentral
UACGAAGGGAGCCAGCGUUGUUCGGAUUUACUGGGCGUAAAGGGCGCGUAGGCGGAUCUGCAAGUCAGAGGUGAAAGCCCUGGGCUCAACCCGGGAAUGGCCUUUGAGACUGCACGUCUUGAGUGCGAGAGAGGGUGGCGGAAUAACCAGUGUAGAGGUGAAAUUCGUAGAUAUUGGGUAGAACACCGGUGGCGAAGGCGGCCACCUGGCUCGCAACUGACGCUGAUGCGCCUAAGCGUGGGGAGCAAACAGG